AUACGGAGGGUGCAAGCGUUACUCGGAAUCACUGGGCGUAAAGCGCGCGCAGGCGGCUAUUUAAGUUGGAUGUGAAAGCCUAUGGCUCAACCAUAGAACUGCAUCCAAAACUAUUUAGCUAGAGUGUGGGAGAGGAAGAUGGAAUUAGUUGUGUAGGGGUAAAAUCCGUAGAGAUAACUAGGAAUACCAAAAGCGAAGGCAAUCUUCUGGAACACUACUGACGCUGAGGCGCGAAGGCGUGGGGAGCAAACAGGAUUAGAAACCCCAGUAGUCC
Molecule: ribosomal RNA, 274 nt
Filed under: uncultured bacterium
Lineage: Bacteria
Description: partial 16S ribosomal RNA
Rfam family: Bacterial small subunit ribosomal RNA
Source: RNAcentral